This 219-nucleotide unclassified non-coding RNA is filed under the name air metagenome. RNAcentral describes it as "partial contains small subunit ribosomal RNA, internal transcribed spacer 1, and 5.8S ribosomal RNA". The stretch from base 1 to 46 matches the Rfam family "Eukaryotic small subunit ribosomal RNA", at positions 1786 to 1831 of the family's 1831-position model. The record is from RNAcentral.
AAGUCGUAACAAGGUUUCCGUAGGUGAACCUGCGGAAGGAUCAUUACUGGAGUGCCCUUCGGGGCUUAUCCUUCUACCCUUUGAUGUUAUCGACAUUAUCCUUUCAUCUUUUGGCGGGUUCGCCCGCCAAAAGGAAUCUCAAACUCGUUAUGAAUCUGUUAUCUUCUGAAUUAAACAUAAAAUAAAUUAAAACUUUCAACAACGGAUCUCUUGGUUCUG